GGAUGAGUUCGCGUGCCAUUAUGCUAGUUGGUAAGGUAACGGCUUACCAAGGCUAUGACGGCUAGGUGGUCUGAGAGGACGAUCACCCACACUGGGACUGAGACACUGCCCAGACUCCUGCGGGAGGCUGCAGUCGAGAAUCUUCCGCAAUGCGCGAAAGCGUGACGGAGCAAUGCCGCGUGAUCGAAGACGGCCUUCGGGUUGUAAAGAUCUGUCAGGGGGGAAAAACGAUGAUGGUACCCCCAGAGGAAGCCACGGCUAACUACGUGCCAGCAGCCGCGGUAAUACGUAGGUGGCGAGCAUUAUUCG
This 309-nucleotide ribosomal RNA is filed under the name Lentisphaera araneosa HTCC2155. RNAcentral describes it as "bacterial SSU rRNA". It matches the Rfam family "Bacterial small subunit ribosomal RNA", at positions 223 to 547 of the family's 1533-position model. Lineage: Bacteria; Pseudomonadati; Lentisphaerota; Lentisphaeria; Lentisphaerales; Lentisphaeraceae. The record is from RNAcentral.